UGAGUGCAGAAGAGGAAAGUGGAAUUCCAUGUGUAGCGGUGAAAUGCGCAGAGAUAUGGAGGAACWCCAGUGGGGAAGGCGMCUUUUUGGUCUGUAACUGACGYUGAUGUGCGAAAGCGUGGGGAUCAAACAGGAUUAGAUACCCUGGUAGUCCACSCCGUAAACGAUGAGUGCUAAGUGUUAGGGGGUUUCCGCCCCUUAGUGCUGCAGUUAACGCAUUAAGCACUCCSCCUGGGGAGUACGWCCSCAAGGUUGAAAUUCAAAGGAAUUGACGGGGACCCGCCCAAGCGGUGGAGCAUGUGGUUUAAUUGGAAGCAACGGGAAGACCCUUMCCAAAUCUUGACAUCCUUUGACCKCUCUAGAGAUAGAGUUUUCCCYUUSGGGGGACAAAGYGACAGGUGGUGCAUGGUUGUCGUCAGCUCGU
This 424-nucleotide ribosomal RNA is filed under the name Staphylococcus warneri. Its description in RNAcentral is "partial 16S ribosomal RNA". It matches the Rfam family "Bacterial small subunit ribosomal RNA", at positions 642 to 1063 of the family's 1533-position model. The record is from RNAcentral. Lineage: Bacteria; Bacillati; Bacillota; Bacilli; Caryophanales; Staphylococcaceae.